Molecule: ribosomal RNA, 447 nt
Filed under: uncultured bacterium
Lineage: Bacteria
Description: bacterial SSU rRNA
Rfam family: Bacterial small subunit ribosomal RNA
Source: RNAcentral
UCGGGAAUUUUGGGCAAUGGGCGAAAGCCUGACCCAGCAACGCCGCGUGAAGGAUGAAGUAUUUCGGUAUGUAAACUUCGAAAGAAUAGGAAGAAUAAAUGACGGUACUAUUUAUAAGGUCCGGCUAACUACGUGCCAGCAGCCGCGGUAAUACGUAGGGACCAAGCGUUGUUCGGAUUUACUGGGCGUAAAGGGCGCGUAGGCGGCAAUUCAAGUCAUCUGCGAAAUCUCCGGGCUUAACUCGGAACGGUCAGAUGAUACUGCUUUGCUAGAGUGCAGAAGGGGCAAUCGGAAUUCUUGGUGUAGCGGUGAAAUGCGUAGAUAUCAAGAGGAACACCUGAGGUGAAGACGGGUUGCUGGGCUGACACUGACGCUGAGGCGCGAAAGCCAGGGGAGCAAACGGGAUUAGAUACCCGGGUAGUCCCUGAGCGGGCUGGCAAGGCGCAU